AGGCUCGUCAAUCGAAAUGAGUACAAUUUAAAUCCUUUAACGAGUACCAAUUGGAGGGCAAGUCUGGUGCCAGCAGCCGCGGUAAUUCCAGCUCCAAUAGCGAAUAUUAAAUUUGUUGCAGUUAAAAAGCUCGUAGUUGGAUCCAAGGUUAGGCAUGCCUGUCUGUUCUUAGCAGCAUGACUGUGUGUGUCUGCCUUUAUUAGUUGAAUGUUCAUUAUGGUGGUCUUCAUCGACUGCUAUGAUGUGCUCAACACGUUUACCUUGAAAAAAUCAGAGCGAUCAAGGCAGGCCUUCGUGCUUGUAUGUUGUUGCAAGGAAUAAUAGAAUAGGACUUCGGUUCUAUUUUGUUGGUUUUGAGAAUUGAAGUAAUGAACAAUAGAGACAGUCGGGGGCAUUUGUAUGGUGGCGUUAGAGGUGAAAUUCUGAGAUCGUCGCCAGACAAACUACUGCGAAAGCAUUUGCCAAGGAUGUCUUCAUUAAUCAAGAACGAAAGUCAGAGGUUCGAAGACGAUCAGAUACCGUCCUAGUUCUGACCAUAAACGAUGCCGACCUACAAUUGGGGGUGGUUUAUUAUAUUGACCCUCCCGGCUGUCCUCAGGAAACUUUAAGUUGGUUCUGGGGGGAAUAUGGUCUCAAGACUGAAACUUAAAGGAAUUGACGGAAGGGCACCACCAGGAGUGGAGCCUGCGGCUUAAUUUGACCCAACACGGGGAAUCUCACCCGGUCCGGACACUGGUAGGAUGGACAGAUUGAUAGCUCUUUCUUGAUUCAGUGGGUGGUGGUGCAUGGCCGUUCUUAGUUGGUGGAGUGAUUUGUCUGGUUAAUUCCGAUAACGAACGAGACUCUGUCCUGCUAAAUAGUCCAGUGGCAUCAAUCACUAUGUGAUUACAGCUGCUGUUACUUCUUAGAGGGAUUCGCGGAUUUAAACCGCAAGAAAUAGAGCAAUAACAGGUCUGUGAUGCCCUUAGAUGUCCGGGGCCGCACGCGCGCUACAUUGACAGUAGAAGCGAGUAUUUCUACCUGGUUCGAAAGAAUUGGGAAAUCUUCGAAUUACUGUCUCCACAGGGAUUGAGGUUUGCAAUUUUGCCUCAUGAACGAGGAAUUCCCAGUAGGCGCAAGUCAUCAGCUUGCGUCGAUUACGUCCCUGCCCUUUGUACACACCGCCCGUCGCUACUACCGAUUGAGUGCAUUAGUGAGGACCUCGGAUUGAGAACAUAGUGGCGCAAGUUACUUUGUUUUCGAAAAGUGGCUCAAAUUUGUGCAUUUAGAGAUAGUAAAAGUCGU
RNAcentral lists this ribosomal RNA (1284 nucleotides) under metagenome. Its description in RNAcentral is "SSU rRNA". It matches the Rfam family "Eukaryotic small subunit ribosomal RNA", at positions 498 to 1792 of the family's 1831-position model. The record is from RNAcentral.